This 253-nucleotide ribosomal RNA is filed under the name uncultured bacterium. Its description in RNAcentral is "partial 16S ribosomal RNA". It matches the Rfam family "Bacterial small subunit ribosomal RNA", at positions 524 to 776 of the family's 1533-position model. The record is from RNAcentral.
UACGGAGGGUGCGAGCGUUGUUCGGAAUUACUGGGCGUAAAGCGCGUGCAGGCGGCCGACUAAGUCAGGUGUGAAAGCCCGGGGCUCACCUCCGGAAGUGCGCUUGAAACUGGUCGGCUAGAGUACGGGAGAGGGAAGCGGAAUUCCUGGUGUAGCGGUGAAAUGCGUAGAUAUCAGGAGGAACACCGGCGGCGAAGGCGGCUUCCUGGACCGAUACUGACGCUGAGGAGCGAAAGCGUGGGGAGCGAACAGG